AAGGACAAAACCUAUUUCACAUCUGGGUCUGAGGUGGCCCCUGGUAGUGGGGGAGGUUUGGGACCCCACAGUCCCCCGGUUAAGGGUUGUGUCUGGAGUCAAGAGGGGUGAGGAGGAGGCAUUUGCAGCCCAUACUGAAAGGACUUAUAGAGAAAGCACUGUUUAUGGAAAUAAGGACUGGAAAAAAACAAAAACAAAAACCAAGAGUUCUUGUUGUGGCUCAGCAGUUAACAAACCCAACUAGCAUCCAUGAGGACGCGGGUUUGAUCCCUGGCCUCGCUCGGUGGGUUAAGGAUCCAGCGUUGCCGUGCGUGGUGAUGUAGGUCACAGAUGCGGCUCGGAACCUGCCUUGCUGUGGCUGUUGGUGUAGGCCAGUGGCUACAGCUCCGAUUCAACUCCUAGCCUCCCUAUGCCGUGGGUACGGCCCUAAAAAGACAAAAAAACAAAAACAAAAAAAGAAAACCACCUUCAGACAAUACUGAUAGGCUCUGAGCAACUUCCUCUCUCUGUGGAAAGUGGCUGAAAAGGAAAGAUGCUGGUAUGGUCUGAGACUCAGGUGGGAUGCCCAGGCCUGAGAACCAGCUUCUAGGAGAGGAUGUAAAUUAGGUAAAAUCUUUAAUUUAAAAAAAUGGGGGGAGUAAGGAGUUUGUGGCUAAGAGUAACCAACGGCCCUGAGACACUUACGACUACCGUGUGGGAACACUGUGGCAGAAAAGAAAUCCUGAAGCCCAGUGACUGACACUCAGGCAUCCUGCCCCAUGACGCCCCAUGACCCGCUCUGCUUAGCUACUAAGUUUGCAGCAGGAGGGAGGACAACUAAUCGGCUUCAUGGAACCUCAAAUUUUGUCAUCUAUAAAAUGGGCACAACUAUCCUCUCUACCCAUAGGCUUUUUGUGAAGUCAAAUCAGAUCACAGCAGGGCCAAGCCAAUGCUGUUCCUGAAAGCAGAGCAAAUAGCCCCUCGGCCUGGCUAAAUAACAUGCAACGGUCUGCAUCCUGGCAUAGAAAACAGAGGCGCUCUGCAGUUAUUCCUACAGCUGGAUGGGACGUGAGCUCCAUUCUCCUCUAUUUUCAGUCUUUUUUGGUUUUAUGUCUUGUUCUCAUUGCUUUGCUUACUUUAGGGAAACAAUUUCAUCAGGACGUGAGAAAAAAGUCCUACUCAAAAAUGUUUAUAGCCAAAUGAUACUUUUUGUAAUGUUGCAAUGACGUUUGGGCUGAGGAUGAAUGUCCUCUUUUCCCCUCUGGUUGGGAACACAUGAAAAUUCAAUGAAGCAGCACAGCUUGUUUUGUCAGUGAAGUUAGUACGUGAGGCAGUUUUGGCCUUGUUUAUGGAAAUGAAAAAUCUUUGCCAUGUUUUGAUUCUCUGCAGAAGUCUCUGGUUGUGACAGGCUGAAAAAUGAAAAAAUGAGAAUGUACAUGAUCCAUUUAGGAACUUGCCUUUUUUAUUUUUUUUCUCACAGCUGCACUUGCAGCAUAUGGAAGUUCUAGGCUAGGGGUCAAAUCGGAGCUAUACCUGCAGGCCUGCAUCACAGCCACAGCCAUACCAGAUCUGAGCUGUAUCUGCAAACUACACCACAGCUCGUGGCAAAGCCAGAUCCUUAAUCCACUGGGCGAGGCCAAGGAUCAAACUCACAUGCUCAUGGACACUAUGUCCUGUUCUUAACCUGCUGAGCCACAGUGGGAACUCCUAGAGGGCCUCUUCAUUCUGAGUGACUCUGCCUUGAAUGAAACUGACAAUAAAGAAAUUCCAAAAACAGCCCCUAAGUCCAAACAGUGAUGUACAAUACGAGGCCACUGAGUGGCCAGGCCAAGGCCCUGCCUCUCUGCUGCUGUAACAGAUGCCCUAGAGUAGGUGGACCCUGGCCUCCCUGAGACAGCGUAGAAGGCGGCCCCCCCCACACACACACAUGCUGCUCAUUAUUCACCAAAACAACAUAUCAAUGCCCAGGGACACCUGUGGCAUUCUCCCUACUGUCCCAUCUGAGUCUCUCCCACACGGGAAGCAAGUCUCCAACUGUCUUACAAUUUUCAACCAGAGAUUCUUCAAGCAUGGAAACCACAUGACCCCCAAAUUGUACUUCUAGAUAAUCAUCCGAGAGGAGCGAGGUUGUAUGCGAAUGAUCGGAGCAGCUUUAUUCAUAAUAGAUUGUCAGUCCUCUUUAAAGACUAAUUUACUUCAAAACCAGAAUUUUUAGUUUUUCCUUGAACUGUCUCUGGGAUUCCACGUUGGCAGGGUCUGCAGAUGCUUCUGGGGCCAGCUGUCAUGCUCACCAAUGCCCAGGAACCCAAAAGCACUGCCGUGGCCUGGUCUGCUGUAGACACAGGCAAGGUGACCAGCAGUUACAACAGCCUCUCCAGAAAGCCCAGCAUAUCUUGGGUUUUCUCCUCAAAACAUCUUCUCUUUAGUAUCAAAAUUCACAUUCACCAUCUAGAUCAUCCAUCCCAGGCUGCUGAGGGGCAUGUGCCCAGAUCAGCAGUACCACGCACAUCACCCUCUUGUUGAAACAGUGGGUUGUUGUACCCAUUUUGCAGAUGAGGAAGCCAAUGCCCACACAGGUGAAGUAAAGUCCCCAAGACACACAGCUGGUGAAUCUUGGGCUAGGAUUGAACCCAUGCGGUCUGGCUCCCGCAGUCACUGAGGUUGCGCCCUCACAGGAGGGAUGAACUACUGAGGAUGACCUCUGAGCUGCACUGAAGGGGAGCAUGAAGUCCCCCUUCCAUGAGGGUACACGCUGUGGAGCACUGCUCUGUCUGCUUGGCCAGGCUCUAGUUCCUAUCCUGCAGUGCGUGCGCCACCUGGCUCCACACUCAGGAACAGCCUCACCCAUCAACUGGCCUUAAUGCCUUCCUAGGAUGCCCAAGAGAUGAGGUUUUUAAAGCCUUGAGUUCUAAUCUUUACAACUACUGAGUAAUUCUUCACAAUAACCCUAUGCAGGAGGUUCUGUUGUGAAGAACUAAACAUCCCCCACUUAACAGGCAAGAAGACGGAGACAUAAAGAUGUAAAGAAACUGCCCCAGCUAGUAAGUGGCAAAAUCAGAUCUAACAUCCAGGUCUUUUUCUGACACCAGAUCUAAGCUCUAAUCUAUGGGUCUCAGAGGUUAGGCAAAUAAGCUGUGAGGAGAAUACUGGUGUAAGAAAUUAAGGUUUUAGCUCCUUUUCAGCAGAAGAGCCAUUUCUGGGUUCAGUGGCAAAGCAGUGGUGUGGCCAGAGGCUGCUGGGGGCAACCCCUCAGGUCAGGCCACAAAGAAAUGGGAGAGCAGCCAAUUACAAGGCCUUCAUCACAGGCGUGACUCAGAGUCUACAGCAAAAGCCUGCUGCAGCCACUACUCUGCCCCAGGGUUAAGAAAUUCCCACUGGGCGAGCUCAGCCCUUUGCAUGCUGCAGCCCGGCUUCUGGAGACAGGCACUCUCCCACUACAAGCCAUGGGCAUUUCGCAAUCAGGUUAAUUUUGGCCAAGAAUCUGAUGAGCUUAGUGAGAAACUCAUUCCAAAUCUAAUACAGAUCUUUCUCGACUCAUGAUGGGGUUAGGUCCUGAUAAGUCCAUCCUAAGUUGAAAAUCUAUUAAGUAGAAAAUGCAUUUAACACACCUACCUUACCCGACUUCAUAGCUUAGCCUAGAAUACAUCACCUUACCCUUACAUUAGCCUACAGUUGGGCAAAAGCAUCUACGACAAAGCCUAUUUUACAACAAAGUGUGAAGUAUCUCAUGUAACUUAUUGAAUACUAUAUUAAAAGUGAAAAACAAAUGGUUGUCUGGAUCCAGAAUGGUUGUGUGUGGGUGGUUCUCACCCUCAUAAUGGUGCGGCUGGGAGCCAGGGCUGUGCUGCCCCCUGCCCAGCAUCACAGGGAAUAUCCGCAUAUCGCCAGCCCCGUAAAAGGUACAAACUCAAAAUUCGAGGUCCAGAUUCUACUGAAGGCACUUCACUUCCACACCACCACAAAAUCAAAAAAUCAUAAGUUGAACCAUCCUUAGGACCAUCUGCAGUUCCUUGCUACCAGUCCUCCCCCCCGGCUUCCGGCAUACAGAGAAUGUGACGCCUCCGAGCCUUUAGUCCUUUACUCCUCAGGGCACUACUCCAUCCAGGCACACACCCUCCUGCCUCUGGCCUUGGUGGGCCAGGCCCAGGUGAGGAGGAAGCCCUCUCCCCCCAACCCUCCAUCAGCCAAUCACUGGUUGCUACACCAAAAAGCGGUUCUUUGCCUGGUCUAGGGUUAGAUACCAGGCAGCCCAGGGAGAGGCGCAUUAUGGCGAGAAAUAAAGAUGCAAAAGGCCGUAUGACUAAGACGGUGACACAGUAACAAACAAGGCUAACUGCGGCUGUGAAAGACCGGGAACAGUCCCACCUCUCGAAGGCAGCCCUUUGCGUGGAGAAUGCUGACCCCUAGUGGCCACGCACGGGGACGCAGCGCGGCUGCCGCGGAGCCUGUGACAGUGAGUCACCUAGGGAGCAACUGAGCUCUAGGGCAUCAAGAGCCCCAGACCCCGUCUGGGGACAGUGGGCCUGGAAGGGAGGUGGGGGAAAGGCAGGGACGAGAGGACAAGGGCAAAGAGACCCCGGCUGCUAGUCCUGCCCCGCCCCCACCAUCCCAUAAGAGUUCUAGUCCCGCCUCCGUCCCUCCCAGCUCUCGAAUGCUGUCAACUCUUCCUAUGUUCUAGGAAGAAAUAAGCAAGGAGGAAAAGGGAAGAGAUCUGCAGUAUAAACGGGGCUAUGAUCCCCCAGGGCUUACAUGUGCCUCCAAAACGCUUCCUCCAUCCGGGUCUUCCGCUGGACCAGCCAACUCCCAAAUCUUGAGCCAGUGAAACUGCGUUCCUUACUGACAGGUGGGCUGAACAAUGGCUCCCAAAGAUAUCCAGGCCCUAAUCCCUGGAAGCUGUGAAUGUUACUUUAUAAAACAAAAGUGGCUUAGCAGGUGAGAUUAAGUUAAGGGUGUUGAGGUGGGGAGAUUAUCCUGCAUUAUUCAGGUGGAUCUUAAAUGUUAUCACAAGCAUCUUACAAGAGGGAGGGAGAGGGAGAUUUUACUGCAGAAGAGAAAGACAACCAUUUUACAAAAGACGCAGAAGAGAUUUCAGAUGCUACUUAGCUCACUUUGAAGAGGGAGUCAUAGGCCAAAAAAUGCAAAAAAAAAAAAAAAGAGCUCUAAAAACUGGAAAAGACAAGAAAAUGGAUUCUCCCUUGGAGGUUCUGCUGACACCUUGAUUUUGGCCCCAUGAAUCAGAUUUCUGGUUUCCAGAACUGUAAGAGAAUAAACCUGUGUUGUUUUUAAGCUACCAAGCUUGUGGUAAUAGGUUACAGCAGCCAUCAGAAAUAAAUACAUGACCUUCAACUCUUAAAUUUGUGUGUACUUGGGAUAAAACUGUUAAUGAACAAGAGAGACUCUUCCACACCUAGAGAAAUUUAUAAUCUCUCUCUCUCGGGAUUUUAAAAAGCAACAGCCAAAAAUUAUUUAUCUUAUGUAGUGAAAUAUAUAACCAACUAGCACAUGGAAGAUAUUCAAGAUCUUUAGCAGUAAGGAGGGUAGGGGUCAUCAAAAACACAACCAGGGGAGUUCUCUUCCGGGUUCGGUGGUUAACGAGUCUGAAUAGGAUCCAUGAUGAGGAUGUGGGUUUGAUCCCUGGCCUUGCUCAGUGGGUUAAGGAUCUGGCAUUGCUGACGGCUCAGGAUCAAGUGUCUGGCACUGUUCUCACAGGUUCACAAGUUCAUGCUAAAGGUCUUGCUAGGCUCUUAUACUCUGUGCAGGCAAACAUGAAGAGUGCCACUAAAAUAUUUUAGCUUAUUCGCAUAGCUUGGCUUUCUUUAACUUUGUCGGUAAGAGCCCUUUUCCAUCAUUCCUCAUGCUAAUUACCAAGCCACUAAUUUCAUCACACAAAAUCCAUUUACGAUAUUCACUGUGCUGAUUAGCAGUGUCUGCUAUGGAUCAAAACAGAGAUUACUCGAGCACUGAUAGGGGCCAACCUUGGCAGAUGGCCUGUCUGAUAGAAUAUGAGCCGAUGCUCUGGGGUAUAGUUUACCCCUAGAAUUGAAGCUUAACCUAACUAGCAAGUACACAACAUUAUACCAUCAAUUCUGCCAUAUUUUCAAGUGAUAUCAAGAUAUUUGCUUUUUUUGGGGUCUUUUUAGGACUGCACCUGCAGCAUAUGGAGGUUCGCAGGCUACGGAUGAAGUUGGAUGUGUAGCUGCUGGUCUACACCACAGCCACAGCAAUGCCAGAUCCGAGCUGCAUCUGAGACCUACACCACAGUUCACGGCAAUGCCAGAUCCUUAACCCACUGAGCAAGGCCAGGGAUUGAACCUGAGUCCUCAUGGAUAUUAGUCAGAUUUGUUUCCACUGAGCCACAAUGGGAACUCCUGCUUUGAAGUUUCCACUGUGGCUCAGUGGGUUAAGGAUCCGGCAUUGUCACUGCUGCAGCAGCAUGAGUUUGACCCCGGGCCCAGAAAAUUCCACGUGCCAUG
This 6452-nucleotide long non-coding RNA is filed under the name Sus scrofa (pig). RNAcentral's name for it is "lncRNA (ENSSSCG00050026174.1)". The record is from RNAcentral. Lineage: Eukaryota; Metazoa; Chordata; Mammalia; Artiodactyla; Suidae.